RNAcentral lists this ribosomal RNA (253 nucleotides) under uncultured bacterium. RNAcentral describes it as "partial 16S ribosomal RNA". It matches the Rfam family "Bacterial small subunit ribosomal RNA", at positions 524 to 776 of the family's 1533-position model. The record is from RNAcentral.
UACGUAGGGGGCUAGCGUUGUCCGGAAUCAUUGGGCGUAAAGCGCGCGUAGGCGGCCCGGUAAGUCCGCUGUGAAAGUCCAGGGCUCAACCCUGGAAAGCCGGUGGAUACUGCCGGGCUAGAGUCCGGAAGAGGCGAGUGGAAUUCCUAGUGUAGAGGUGAAAUUCGUAGAUAUUAGGAAGAACACCAGUGGCGAAGGCGGCUCACUGGUCCGGUACUGACGCUGAGGUGCGAAAGCGUGGGGAGCAAACAGG